RNAcentral lists this ribosomal RNA (497 nucleotides) under uncultured bacterium. Its description in RNAcentral is "partial 16S ribosomal RNA". It matches the Rfam family "Bacterial small subunit ribosomal RNA", at positions 28 to 507 of the family's 1533-position model. The record is from RNAcentral.
GAUGAACGCUGGCGGCGUGCCUAAUACAUGCAAGUCGAGCGAACGGACGAGAAGCUUGCUCCUCUGAUGUUAGCGGCGGACGGGUGAGUAACACGUGGAUAACCUACCUAUAAGACUGGGAUAAUUUCGGGAAACCGGAGCUAAUACCGGAUAAUAUUUUGAACCGCAUGGUUCAAAAGUGAAAGACGGCCUUGCUGUCACCUAUAGAUGGAUCCGCGCUGCAUUAGCUAGUUGGUAAGGUAACGGCUUACCAAGGCAACGAUGCAUAGCCGACCUGAGAGGGUGAUCGGCCACACUGGAACUGAGACACGGUCCAGACUCCUACGGGAGGCAGCAGUAGGGAAUCUUCCGCAAUGGGCGAAAGCCUGACGGAGCAACACCGCGUGAGUGAUGAAGGUCUUCGGAUCGUAAAGCUCUGUUAUUAGGGAAGAACAUAUGUGUAAGUAGCUGUGCACAUCUUGACGGUACCUAAUCAGAAAGCCACGGCUAACUACGUG